This 1414-nucleotide ribosomal RNA is filed under the name Salmonella enterica subsp. enterica serovar Newport. Its description in RNAcentral is "bacterial LSU rRNA". It matches the Rfam family "Bacterial large subunit ribosomal RNA", at positions 1547 to 2925 of the family's 2925-position model. Lineage: Bacteria; Pseudomonadati; Pseudomonadota; Gammaproteobacteria; Enterobacterales; Enterobacteriaceae. The record is from RNAcentral.
AAAUCAAGGCUGAGGCGUGAUGACGAGGCACUACGGUGCUGAAGCAACAAAUGCCCUGCUUCCAGGAAAAGCCUCUAAGCAUCAGGUAACAUCAAAUCGUACCCCAAACCGACACAGGUGGUCAGGUAGAGAAUACCAAGGCGCUUGAGAGAACUCGGGUGAAGGAACUAGGCAAAAUGGUGCCGUAACUUCGGGAGAAGGCACGCUGACACGUAGGUGAAGUGAUUUACUCAUGGAGCUGAAGUCAGUCGAAGAUACCAGCUGGCUGCAACUGUUUAUUAAAAACACAGCACUGUGCAAACACGAAAGUGGACGUAUACGGUGUGACGCCUGCCCGGUGCCGGAAGGUUAAUUGAUGGGGUCAGCGCAAGCGAAGCUCCUGAUCGAAGCCCCGGUAAACGGCGGCCGUAACUAUAACGGUCCUAAGGUAGCGAAAUUCCUUGUCGGGUAAGUUCCGACCUGCACGAAUGGCGUAAUGAUGGCCAGGCUGUCUCCACCCGAGACUCAGUGAAAUUGAACUCGCUGUGAAGAUGCAGUGUACCCGCGGCAAGACGGAAAGACCCCGUGAACCUUUACUAUAGCUUGACACUGAACAUUGAGCCUUGAUGUGUAGGAUAGGUGGGAGGCUUUGAAGCGUGGACGCCAGUCUGCGUGGAGCCGACCUUGAAAUACCACCCUUUAAUGUUUGAUGUUCUAACGUGGACCCGUAAUCCGGGUUGCGGACAGUGUCUGGUGGGUAGUUUGACUGGGGCGGUCUCCUCCUAAAGAGUAACGGAGGAGCACGAAGGUUGGCUAAUCCUGGUCGGACAUCAGGAGGUUAGUGCAAUGGCAUAAGCCAGCUUGACUGCGAGCGUGACGGCGCGAGCAGGUGCGAAAGCAGGUCAUAGUGAUCCGGUGGUUCUGAAUGGAAGGGCCAUCGCUCAACGGAUAAAAGGUACUCCGGGGAUAACAGGCUGAUACCGCCCAAGAGUUCAUAUCGACGGCGGUGUUUGGCACCUCGAUGUCGGCUCAUCACAUCCUGGGGCUGAAGUAGGUCCCAAGGGUAUGGCUGUUCGCCAUUUAAAGUGGUACGCGAGCUGGGUUUAGAACGUCGUGAGACAGUUCGGUCCCUAUCUGCCGUGGGCGCUGGAGAACUGAGGGGGGCUGCUCCUAGUACGAGAGGACCGGAGUGGACGCAUCACUGGUGUUCGGGUUGUCAUGCCAAUGGCACUGCCCGGUAGCUAAAUGCGGAAGAGAUAAGUGCUGAAAGCAUCUAAGCACGAAACUUGCCCCGAGAUGAGUUCUCCCUGAGACUUAGAGUCUCCUGAAGGAACGUUGAAGACGACGACGUUGAUAGGCCGGGUGUGUAAGCGCAGCGAUGCGUUGAGCUAACCGGUACUAAUGAACCGUGAGGCUUAACCUUACAACGCCGAAG